This 258-nucleotide non-coding RNA is filed under the name Colletotrichum orbiculare MAFF 240422. RNAcentral's name for it is "Eukaryotic large subunit ribosomal RNA". It matches the Rfam family "Eukaryotic large subunit ribosomal RNA", at positions 1 to 260 of the family's 3401-position model. Lineage: Eukaryota; Fungi; Ascomycota; Sordariomycetes; Glomerellales; Glomerellaceae. The record is from Rfam by way of RNAcentral.
UGACCUCGGAUCAGGUAGGAAUACCCGCUGAACUUAAGCAUAUCAAUAAGCGGAGGAAAAGAAACCAACAGGGAUUGCCCCAGUAACGGCGAGUGAAGCGGCAACAGCUCAAAUUUGAAAUCUGGCCCCCAGGGCCCGAGUUGUAAUUUGCAGAGGAUGCUUUCGGGCGCGGUGCCUUCCGAGUUCCCUGGAACGGGACGCCAUAGAGGGUGAGAGCCCCGUACGGUUGGACACCAAGCCUGUGUAAAGCUCCUUCGA